Oscillatoriales cyanobacterium CG2_30_44_21 is the source of this 73-nucleotide non-coding RNA. The record is from Rfam. Lineage: Bacteria; Bacillati; Cyanobacteriota; Cyanophyceae; Oscillatoriales.
GGGGCUAUAGCGCAGUUGGUAGCGCAUCUCAAUGGCAUUGAGAGGGUCAGCGGUUCGAAUCCGCUUAGCUCCA